CCCACGCCCGAGACCUGGGGGCGAGUCUCCACGGAUGAGCCCUCCUCCUCCGCGCGGUCACUGCCAGGAGUCGAGGCCGGUUCGUUCCUCGUCCACGGUCUCUCACGCCCUCUGAGGUUACCGACCUGUUUGGUGCAGGAGAUGACCACCAGAGGGCAGGAUACCCCAACUAUGAAGUCUAUGUGCAGUCACCAAAAUUGAAGCUCUGUAUUAGAAGGAAUAUUCUCAACUAAUAGAUGAGCCACUUGGCUCUAGUGCUCGGGGUCACUCAGGUCUCAGUGACCAAGCCCAGUCAAACUGAGAAGUCACCUCAAAGGCCAUGCUGUGCACAGGAGCCCAAGAGGCGGCCCCUGAGCCCAACCCUGGAGGUGGCGUCCCUCUGGAGUCGCGCGGCAGCCCCAGACCUGAUCUGAACAAUGGAGAAGAUACCUGUCCUGGGCCUGGGCACCUGGCAGGCCGCUCCGGGGGAGGUGACGGAGGCGGUGAAAGUGGCCAUCGACACGGGCUAUCGACACUUCGACUGCGCCUACUUGUACCACAAUGAGAACGAGGUCGGAGUGGGGAUCCAGGCCAAGAUCGACGAGGGCGUGGUGAGACGGGAGGACCUGUUCAUUGUCAGCAAGCUCUGGUGCACCUGCCAUAAGAAGUCCCUGGUGAAGUCGGCCUGCACCAGGAGCCUGAAGGCCUUGAAGCUGCAGUACCUGGACCUGUACCUCAUACACUGGCCCAUGGGCUUCAAGCCGGGGGAGGUGGACUUGCCUGUGGACCGCAGUGGCAUGAUCGUCGCCAGCAACACGGAUUUCCUGGACACGUGGGAGGCCAUGGAGGACCUGGUCAUCGAAGGCCUGGUGAGAGCCAUCGGGGUGUCCAACUUCAACCACGAGCAGCUGGAGAGACUCCUGAAUAAACCCAACCUGAGGGUCAAGCCAGUGACCAACCAGAUCGAAUGCCACCCAUACCUUACGCAGAAGAAGCUGAUCAGUUUCUGCCAAUCCAGAAACGUGUCCGUGACUGCUUACCGGCCCCUUGGUGGCUCCAGUGAGGGGGUGCCCCUGCUGGAGGACCCCGUGAUCCAGACUAUCGCGCAGAAGCACGGGAAGUCUGCAGCCCAGAUUUUGAUCCGGUUUCAGAUCCAGAGGAAUGUGAUAGUGAUUCCCAAAUCUGUCAACCCAAAGCGGAUUCUUGAGAAUUUCCAGGAAAGUGUCUCCUCCUGUCCCUUUGGAGGGUUUGGGGUCCCGUGUCAGCUCUGGGGCCGAGCAGGACGAGGGUGGGGGGCCCACCAGAGCCGGAAGCCUCGCCCUCUGUGACUCUGACACCUCGACGCCGCCACUGGGGAGGGGGCAGGAUGAGGCCCCAGGAGCGAGACAGGCCCUUGUUGCCGCCUGGGGUCCUGUGAACGAGGUUGAAAGGGAAGCGCAGAGGUGAUGGGCUGCAGGGGUGCGGGCAGCCGGAAGCCCGCCCCCCGCCCCCAGGGCCGCCCCGUAAUGCCCUGCCCAGGCUGCCCAGCCGAGAGGUCUCUGGACCCUUCCAGAGAUGUUCCCUCGCUCCCCUGCACGCAGAGUACCCCGGGCCCCAGCUCUCCCUCCAGGCACAACUUUGGUUGGCGCUGAGUCUCUGAUUUCUACUAGACUUCGGGGUGCAGGACCCCCGUGGGCAGAGGCUGGCCCGUGCUCUGUCCCCUCUGAGGUGGACUCGCCGCUCCUCCCCCCUGCCCGCUCCCCCUCCCCGCUCCUCAGCUGGGUUCAGGGUCCCCUCUCCCCGGUGGCCAGUUCCUCCUGUGGCGAGGGCGUGGCCCUCGGGGACUGAGUGGGGAUGGCCUUAGCGGGAACAGACCAGUUAGCCUGCGCAGGGACACUGCAAGCGUUAAUGGUCCUGGGCCCAAGAGACUCCGUAGAUGGUGGGUGUGGAAGAAAUAGUUUUGUCUUCUGUUUCUUGGGGGGUUUUUUUCUGGGGGGGUGGAGGGUGGGAAGAUUCUGUCCUGGAAUGUCCCUUUACACUUGCAGGCUGCCGUCCCCCCGCAGCCUGAGGUGGGCAGAGCCCACGUGCCUUUGGGGGCUGAGGCCCAUGUUCAGGGAAGGUCCUGGUGUCACAGGUUGUCACAGGUCACAGGUCCCUCUACCAAAGGCCCACUGACCUGAAUCUCCUGUGACUGUUUCCUUUUGGUUCCAGGUGUUUGACUUUGAAUUAUCAGAACAGGAUAUGACUGACCUCCUCGGCCUGGACAGGAAUCUGCGUUUGUCCGCCUUCCCCAUGUAAAUACGGCUCCUUUUCCUCCUUCCAAGGGGGCGCAGCGAUGUCCAGGGCAGGGCUGUUUGCUGCAGGGGUGUCUCUUAUGUGCACCCAGGUGAACCAAACCUUCUUCUCAGGAUCCUGUCCUCCCCAGAAGGGCCACUUUCGAGAGCUGAAAACCACAAGGAUUAUCCCUUCAAAGCAGAGUACUGAGACCCUGCUGGGCCAGGCAAAUCCUCACCUCUGCCAGGGGCGGGGCCACAGCUUGAGCGGAGUGGAAGGUUCCGGAGAAGCCUGGAGAACUGAGUGAGGUCUGCCAUCGGAGGGGAGGCUUGGAGAGAGUGAGCAGUGAACCCCUUAAAGUCUUAAGGCUCCGUGGGGCACACGGUGUGACGGGCUUCUCACAAACCUGCCGCGUGGCCUGUACUCUCCCACAAGGAUGUUUGAUGGCUCAUAAGUUCACAUGUUAAAAAAGUGUGUUAUGGAAAUAUUUGAUUAUCUGUUGCAUAGCUAAUCUCUCUCUGCUAUAAAAACAGUUCUUAUAAACAUUAACAAAAUGAUAAAUUCCCAAUUAAAAAAUGAUGCUGGAAGAACGCA
Molecule: non-coding RNA, 2826 nt
Organism: Sus scrofa (pig)
Lineage: Eukaryota; Metazoa; Chordata; Mammalia; Artiodactyla; Suidae
Source: RefSeq, a predicted model, not a curated record